GGAAGGAUCAUUAUCGUACAAAAUGUGAGGGGCAUGUGAGGGCUGUCGCUGACUCAAAGUCGUGCACGCCCGAGUGUGUCCUCUCACAUAAUAAUCCAUCUCACCCUUUGUGCAUCGCCGCGUGAGCACCCUUUGGGAUCAUCUCGGAGGGGGCUCGCGUUUUCACACAAACCCCCCUUUUAAAAGUGUAGAAUGACCUCAUUUAUGCGCUAACACGCAAUCAAUACAACUUUCAACAACGGAUCUCUUGGCUCUCGCAUCGAUGAAGAACGCAGCGAAAUGCGAUACGUAAUGUGAAUUGCAGAAUUCAGUGAAUCAUCGAAUCUUUGAACGCACCUUGCGCCCCUUGGUAUUCCGAGGGGCACACCCGUUUGAGUGUCGUGAAAACCUCAACCUCCUUGGUUUCUUCUGGAGACCAAAGGCAGGCUUGGACUUUGGAGGCCCUUGCUGGAACCUCUCUCUUUUGAAGGCCAGCUCCUCUUAAACGAAUUAGCAGGGUCCUCUUUGCCGAUCCUCGACGUGUGAUAAGAUGUUUCCAUGUCUUGGUUUCUGGCUCUGUCACUUUUGGGACCCGCUUCUAACCGUCUUGACCUUGCAUCGAGACAAUGUUCGAGCAUGUCUCCCUUCUCGGGAAGCUCCCUCGACCCCACGAACCCUUGACCUCAAAUCGGGUGAGACUACCCGC
This 685-nucleotide ribosomal RNA is filed under the name uncultured fungus. RNAcentral describes it as "eukaryotic LSU rRNA". The stretch from base 228 to 381 matches the Rfam family "5.8S ribosomal RNA". Lineage: Eukaryota; Fungi. The record is from RNAcentral.